This 447-nucleotide ribosomal RNA is filed under the name uncultured bacterium. RNAcentral's name for it is "partial 16S ribosomal RNA". It matches the Rfam family "Bacterial small subunit ribosomal RNA", at positions 29 to 523 of the family's 1533-position model. The record is from RNAcentral.
AGCGAACGCUGGCGGCAGGCUUAACACAUGCAAGUCGAACGCCUCGCAAGGGGAGUGGCAGACGGGUGAGUAACACGUGGAAACGUACCCUUUGGUUCGGAAUAACUUGGGGAAACUCAAGCUAAUACCGGAUAAGCCCUUAUGGGGAAAGGUUUACUGCCGAAGGAUCGGCCCGCGUCUGAUUAGCUAGUUGGUGAGGUAAUGGCUCACCAAGGCGACGAUCAGUAGCUGGUCUGAGAGGAUGAUCAGCCACACUGGGACUGAGACACGGCCCAGACUCCUACGGGAGGCAGCAGUGGGGAAUAUUGGACAAUGGGGGCAACCCUGAUCCAGCCAUGCCGCGUGAGUGAUGAAGGCCUUAGGGUUGUAAAGCUCUUUUACCCGGGACGAUAAUGACUGUACCGGGAGAAUAAGCCCCGGCUAACUUCGUGCCAGCAGCCGCCGUAA